AAAUUAUAAUUUUAAAGCCAAUCGUAUACAAAAGAAGUUCUUAAUGGAUUUGGUGCAAUCCAGUAUUGACUUUAAAAGAAUAAAUUAAUAAAAGAUUUUCUUUGAAUUCAGGAAAAGAUGUCUGCACUAUUUUUUUAGACGAAAGAAAAUUAUCAGGACUUAUUACGCAAAAAGUCGUAAUCAUUUCACAACACAAAAUGGCGUGAUUUCACUUCAAAACAAAAAUGACAAUCAGGACUUAUUCUAGAAUACACUGUAUUCCAAUUAAGAGUCUGUGGACAGCAUAGAAAUAAGGACGGAAAUCGAAGAGUCUCCGUCUUUAGAAAUGAAGGUCUUACAAGAUGAUACAAAGAACACUGGAUUUAACGAAAAUGGAAACGAGAAAUCUGGAAAAUGCGAACAAAGAGUUAUGUAUGAACAGCUAAAUUGUAAUAUGGAUGUACAACAUUGUGCAAAAAGCAA
This is a long non-coding RNA of Saccostrea cuccullata (small rock oyster), 462 nucleotides long. RefSeq lists it as uncharacterized. NCBI's taxonomy places the organism in Eukaryota, Metazoa, Mollusca, Bivalvia, Ostreida, Ostreidae. The record is from RefSeq and is a predicted model, not a curated record. The transcript is spliced from 3 exons.